This 225-nucleotide long non-coding RNA is filed under the name Manihot esculenta (cassava). RNAcentral's name for it is "long non-coding RNA (MESC_LNC008570)". The record is from RNAcentral. Lineage: Eukaryota; Viridiplantae; Streptophyta; Magnoliopsida; Malpighiales; Euphorbiaceae.
CCCAUUUUCGGCCAACGGUGAGUCCAUGCUCUCCCAUGGUUGAUUUUUGAUGUCCUUCCUCAAAUCUUUCAAGUUUUAACAAGUUUUAACUUGGUUUGAAGAUAUUUGAGCAAAAAGAGUGAAGUUGGAAACUUGGAGACCUCAGGAGCUCGAUCUCUCCCAUCUCCGAGUUGGAUCGCCUCUCCUCUCGAUCUUCAAGAGGUAAGAGUAGAUCUCUAACUCAUU